Molecule: long non-coding RNA, 1060 nt
Organism: Acipenser ruthenus (sterlet)
Lineage: Eukaryota; Metazoa; Chordata; Actinopteri; Acipenseriformes; Acipenseridae
Exons: 3
Source: RefSeq, a predicted model, not a curated record
GUGGUUCAGCUGCUGAGUCUGGUGCUGUAAUAGAUGCCUUCUCUGACCCAUCUAGCGGUGAAGAGCCUUAAACAGUCAUAUCCUAGUGCAGCAGAUAGAUAUAUCGGGUUUGUCUGUGUAGUUUGGCCAUCGUGCUGUUUAUUUUUAGUGUUUUGUUUUGUGUUUAAACGUGUUGUUUUCAAUAAAUUCUGAAUUCUUCACUGGGAUAUGAGUAUUCAAGUCUUCUCACAGUUAUUUUGAAAUGAAUUUGAAAUGCAACACACCUUCACGUGAUUAGGUACAAGGAAACAGAAAGUCAUUUUUCACAGAGCAAAUAGAGAUGUCUUUGAAAUACCUGCAUAUCUCAAACACUCUAAUGGUUCUGCUUCCUUGGCAUCUGGACAUGCAGUAGAGGUGGCGAUUGCUGUUCUGGUUCUUCUGCUUUGUGUUUCAGGGUAAAAUGCUGCAGAUUCAUGAAUCGCAAAAAAAAACACCCCUUCAGAGUACGACUGGAAGAGUAGCAUGUUUUAUUUACUGUGUAAUCAGGCUUGAUUGCUUGAGUAAUUGUUUACACACCCUCAUAAUUAUGGAGCUCUCCCCCCAACUUGUGGUUGUGAUCCGAGCACAGAAGACUAUGCCUGCACAGCUCAUAUUUCUAGCUAUAUUGUGAUGCAAAACCUCAGCUCUGUAACUGCUUGUCAGAGCGAGUCUGGCUCUCUUCUACAAUGGUUAAGAUUUUGCCUCGUCCUCCCAUUCCCCGUGUCCGCAUUAGGAAGACCGGCCCAACCAGAAUGCUUGGUUGCCUGUUGAGCUGUCACUACAAGGUCGCAGUGUGACACAACCUGAAACCAGUGUGGCACGCAAUGACAGACUAGGUCUCGUGUAGAGACGCUGGAGUUAGAAAUAUAUAAUCAACACUUUCUGUAAUGACACAUAUUUUAUAUGUUAGAUUUUUUUCUUAAAUGAGCUGACUUUUAAACACAACCUAAAUAAGGGAGUUGACAAUGAAAACACAAUGGAAAAUACAUUUGCAAAUGCCUGCUGGCUUGAUUUCUUAAAGUUGCAACCUAAUCCCAAAUAA